Molecule: ribosomal RNA, 253 nt
Filed under: uncultured bacterium
Lineage: Bacteria
Description: partial 16S ribosomal RNA
Rfam family: Bacterial small subunit ribosomal RNA
Source: RNAcentral
UACGGAGGGGGCAAGCGUUGUCCGGAAUUAUUGGGCGUAAAGCGCGUGUAGGCGGCUUGGUAAGUCUGGUGUGAAAUCUUGGGGCUCAACCCCAAGCCUGCACUGGAUACUGCCUGGCUAGAGUCCGGGAGGGGAGAGCGGAAUUCCCAGUGUAGCGGUGAAAUGCGCAGAUAUUGGGAAGAACACCGGUGGCGAAGGCGGCUCUCUGGAACGGUACUGACGCUGAGACGCGAAAGCGUGGGGAGCGAACAGG